RNAcentral lists this ribosomal RNA (253 nucleotides) under uncultured prokaryote. RNAcentral's name for it is "partial 16S ribosomal RNA". It matches the Rfam family "Bacterial small subunit ribosomal RNA", at positions 524 to 776 of the family's 1533-position model. The record is from RNAcentral.
GACAGAGGUUGCAAACGUUGUUCGGAAUCACUGGGCAUAAAGCGCACGUAGGCGGCUGACUAAGUCGGAUGUGAAAUCCCUCGGCUUAACCGGGGAACUGCGUCUGAUACUGGUCGGCUUGAGAACGGUAGGGGUGAGCGGAACUCCAGGUGGAGCGGUGAAAUGCGUAGAUAUCGAGAGGAACACCUGCGGCGAAGGCGGGUUGCUGGGCUGACACUGACGCUGAUGCGCGAAAGCCAGGGGAGCGAACGGG